UUCCGGUUGAUCCUGCCGGACCCGACUGCUAUCAGAGUGGGACUAAGCCAUGCGAGUCAACGUAGCAAUGCGUGGCGAACGGCUCAGUAACACGUAGUCAACAUGCCCAGGGGACGUGGAUAACCUCGGGAAACUGAGAUUAAACCGCGAUAGGUCAAGAUUUCUGGAAUGGAUCCUGGCUUAAAUCUACAUGGCCCCUGGAUUGGACUGCGGCCGAUCAGGCUGUUGGUGAGGUAAUGGCCCACCAAACCUAUAACCGGUACGGGCUCUGAGAGGAGAAGCCCGGAGAUGGGCACUGAGACAAGGGCCCAGGCCCUAUGGGGCGCAGCAGGCGCGAAAACUCUGCAAUGGGCGAAAGCCUGACAGGGUUACUCUGAGUGAUUUCCGCUAAGGAGAUCUUUUGGCAGCUCUAAAAAUGGUGCAGAAUAAGGGGUGGGCAAGUCUGGUGUCAGCCGCCGCGGUAAUACCAGCACCCCGAGUGGUCGGGACGAUUAUUGGGCCUAAAGCAUCCGUAGCCGGUUGUGCAAGUCCUCCGUUAAAUCCAGCCGCUCAACGGAUGGGCUGCGGAGGAUACUACAGGACUAGGAGGCGGGAGAGGCAAGCGGUACUUAGUGGGUAGGGGUAAAAUCCUUUGAUCCAUUGAAGACCACCAGUGGCGAAGGCGGCUUGCCAGAACGCGCUCGACGGUGAGGGAUGAAAGCUGGGGGAGCAAACCGGAUUAGAUACCCGGGUAGUCCCAGCUGUAAACGAUGCAGACUCGGUGAUGGGCUAGCCUCGUGUCAGCCCAGUGCCGCAGGAAGCCGUUAAGUCUGCCGCCUGGGGAGUACGGUCGCAGACUGAAACUUAAAGGAAUGGCGGGGAGCA
This 864-nucleotide ribosomal RNA is filed under the name uncultured archaeon. RNAcentral's name for it is "bacterial SSU rRNA". It matches the Rfam family "Archaeal small subunit ribosomal RNA", at positions 1 to 878 of the family's 1478-position model. The record is from RNAcentral.